Molecule: transfer RNA, 63 nt
Filed under: Graptacme eborea
Lineage: Eukaryota; Metazoa; Mollusca; Scaphopoda; Dentaliida; Dentaliidae
Description: tRNA-Lys
Source: RNAcentral
AUUAAAAUAGCUUAAAUAAAGCUGUAGAUUUUUAAUCUAAGGAUAUAAUAAUUAUUUUUAAUA